RNAcentral lists this ribosomal RNA (490 nucleotides) under uncultured bacterium. Its description in RNAcentral is "partial 16S ribosomal RNA". It matches the Rfam family "Bacterial small subunit ribosomal RNA", at positions 30 to 507 of the family's 1533-position model. The record is from RNAcentral.
AUUGAACGCUGGCGGCAGGCCUAACACAUGCAAGUCGAACGGUAACAGGAAGAAGCUUGCUUCUUUGCUGACGAGUGGCGGAUGGGUGAGUAAUGUCUGGGAAACUGCCUGAUGGAGGGGGAUAACUACUGGAAACGGUAGCUAAUACCGCAUAACGUCGCAAGACCAAAAAGGGGGACCUUCGGGCCUCUUGCCAUCGGAUGUGCCCAGAUGGGAUUAGCUAGUAGGUGGGGUAACGGCUCACCUAGGCGACGAUCCCUAGCUGGUCUGAGAGGAUGACCAGCCACACUGGAACUGAGACACGGUCCAGACUCCUACGGGAGGCAGCAGUGGGGAAUAUUGCACAAUGGGCGCAAGCCUGAUGCAGCCAUGCCGCGUGUAUGAAGAAGGCCUUCGGGUUGUAAAGUACUUUCAGCGGGGAGGAAGGGAGUAAAGUUAAUACCUUUGCUCAUUGACGUUACCCGCAGAAGAAGCACCGGCUAACUCCGUG